AUACGUAGGUGGCAAGCGUUGUCCGGAAUUAUUGGGCGUAAAGGGCACGCAGGCGGUCCUAUAAGUCUGAUGUGAAAUCUCGCGGCUUAACCGCGAGCGGUCAUUGGAAACUGUAGGACUUGAGUACAGAAGAGGAGAGUGGAAUUCCACGUGUAGCGGUGAAAUGCGUAGAUAUGUGGAGGAACACCAGUGGCGAAGGCGGCUCUCUGGUCUGUGACUGACGCUGAGGUGCGAAAGCGUGGGUAGCAAACAGGAUUAGAUACCCUGGUAGUCCACGCCGUAAACGAUGAGUGCUAGGUGUUGGGGGGCACGCCCCUCAGUGCUGAAGUAAACACAUUAAGCACUCCGCCUGGGGAGUACGGCCGCAAGGCUGAA
RNAcentral lists this ribosomal RNA (375 nucleotides) under uncultured bacterium. Its description in RNAcentral is "bacterial SSU rRNA". It matches the Rfam family "Bacterial small subunit ribosomal RNA", at positions 523 to 898 of the family's 1533-position model. The record is from RNAcentral.